Molecule: unclassified non-coding RNA, 153 nt
Filed under: soil metagenome
Description: partial internal transcribed spacer 1
Source: RNAcentral
GUGAUUAAAUCGAGCGUGUCUUCAUUGACCGCUCACCCUUCUCACCAUCCACAUACACCUGUGCACUGCUUAGCCUGAGCCGGUUUUCCGGUCCAGGUUAUCAUUUCAUACAAACCCUAGUCUUAUGAAUGUAAACGUUUUAAUAACAUAAUA